UGGCGAUUUAGUACUGUGUGAUACCUUAUGUGAGGGCUCUGUGCCCAAGUGUUUUGUUAAGUCUCUGAUCCUCUUCCACCAUACACAUAGAGAGCCAAAAGGAACAAACUGACAAACUCCAGGACUGAAGAGACUCUGGCUGCCUGCAGCUACCCGAAUCAUGCAUGGGCUUCCCCAAGGACAGCAGGUAUCGGUGAUGAGACUUCUGGUCUACCCUUUCACCCAGAAGACCCAGAGCACUUCUAUAAUUCUCACGUGUCUCUCUAACUGGAUUUACGGCUGUCACAACAAGAGGGAGAUCAUUCCUGGAACUGGAAAUAUAGCCAACCCCACAGGGCUACUAAAGCAAUGGAUUUGGGGGCAAGUCCUGCAAACACCACUUACCUGACUACGUUUUAUACUUUUGCCCCUGAAUCCACAGAUAAGUGUAGUCUUUACCCUCCAUCAAAGAGACUUCUCUAAGCAACAGAUGGAAACCAUCACAGAAAACCACGACCAAUCAAAAUGGAGAGUUGUGGAGUCCAAUCCCAAUGGAUAGAUCUGCACAAUAGUUCUUGCAUCAAAGGGAACAUUGUGGAGGAAUGGAGAGAGAAAAUGGUUAGGAGCUAGAGGAUCGGAGUUUGCUAUGAGAUAGUGUCUCCUAGUAAUGUUAGAGGCUACUCCCACUAAGUCUUACCUAUAUUACUGCCUAAUACAAGCUGAAUGAGGACAGCCAUAGACAUGCUAACAAGUACAGCGGAAUGACCUUUAGGCCUCAACUAUACACCAAGAAUUCCAG
This 778-nucleotide long non-coding RNA is filed under the name Mus spicilegus (steppe mouse). RNAcentral's name for it is "lncRNA (ENSMSIG00000019765.1)". Lineage: Eukaryota; Metazoa; Chordata; Mammalia; Rodentia; Muridae. The record is from RNAcentral.